AGGAUUCAGUUGAAUAGAAGGAAAUUAAGAACUUGGCAAGAUGAACUCUGACGAAGAAGCUGUCAGUGCUGUGUCAAGACUUGCCCAGGAAAAUGCCGAGCUUCGAGAGCAGUUGCGGGAACUCUCCGAAAAGACUGCGCUCGAGAUGGAGGAACUGAGAAGGGCUCUCGACAAGG
Uloborus diversus is the source of this 176-nucleotide long non-coding RNA. RefSeq lists it as uncharacterized. The record is from RefSeq and is a predicted model, not a curated record. NCBI's taxonomy places the organism in Eukaryota, Metazoa, Arthropoda, Arachnida, Araneae, Uloboridae. The transcript is spliced from 3 exons.